UUUUUUUUUUUUGGUCAACCAACUCUACUACUAAAUACCGUUGGUCAAAUAAAUCCGAUAAUUAUUAUUAAGAGUGAAAUCUCAUUCGUUUAAUCACAACUCUCGAGAAUGACUAUGAAUAUGCUGUAAAGGAAAAAAAUAUAAAUAAACGAAUUAAAUACCGUUUGUCAUUUGGAAAAAAAAAAGCAUUAAUGCUAAAAUCAUAAUUUAAGACAAAAAGUGCUUAUACAAAAAUCUUCAUUUAUUGCACAAUAACAUUAUUCUUCUUACUGAGUCUAGUCCAAUGUAAAUAUAGAUUAGUCGAAUUGAUAAAUUAUAGAGUACAUGAUAGAUACUUGAAAAAUAGAAAGAGGGAGGGGUGGGGGGUAUGUACUGCUCCAUUUUUCUUAAGACGAUAAGAUUAACAUUAGAUUUGAGAUAUAUCUAAACCAAUUCAUUCUUAUCGCUAAACAAAUGGCUCCUUAACUAGAAUGUCCUUUUUUUUUUAAAAUAAAAAUUAAUCAUCAAUAUUAAGUACUCAUUAAUCUAGCUAACUCAAAUUUAUAACCCCUUAUAAAAAAUAUUUUCAUUUUCAUGUCUCAAAAUUAAGAAUUCUGAUUAAGAUAGAUCUCAUCCAUCUCAACCGUCACGUCCUAAAACCGUAAGUAUGAGAAUAUACAUAUUCAUUUUUCAUCUUCCAAUAAACACAAAAAAAAAAAAAAUUGAAGUAAAAUAAAAUUUCUAUAAGCAUUGGUUUCUUCCAAGACAUGACAUCCAUAUGAAAUAUAUCAAAAUUACAUCAAAAAAUAAGACUAUUGGUGAUAAUUACCGUUAAACAAAUUGGCAAUACCCAACAGAUUUACAAAAAAAAUAAUUCAAAUGUUAAUUCAACACCCUUUGGACAUAAUUAACCUAACAAAUUCAUUUUCUUCUAUUUCAUCAAAUUUUUUUCUUUACAAGUAUCUCAACUUUCACAUUACUUCCUUUUUGAACCCCAUAAUUUUACAAAGAAUCACUUUCCAACCCCAAAUAAUUCUUUAGCUCAUAAGGAAAACAAGGAUUUUUCUUCCAUUUAUCACCAUGCAAUUUUAAAAUCUUGAUUACUCUUUCCUUUGUUGUUGAAGAUCCACCAAUAUGUAACAAAGCCACCAAUUUUUUCACUGAUCCAUACAUCAACAAGUCAUCCAAAACUUUAUCUGUGGGAUGAGAAUUGCAAAUCAAUGAAAGUAUUUUCACACCAAUUUUUGUGCCAAUAUUUGAAAUAUUCAACAUUUUUUUGGUUAUGGCUGCAACACCUAAACCAUGUUCAAUAAAUCCCAUUCUUCCAUCAGCACAUUCACACAUCAUUUUAAUCAAAUACAUUAUUUUCUCACUUUUUGAUUUGCUUGAAUCAGGAAGAAUCUCAAUCAACGUACACAUAGCUCCAGCCUCAAUUGCUUUCAAUCUUGAUUUUUUCGAUUUUUCUAGUAUGUCUAUCAAGACUUGUAAUGCACAAGAACUUGCCUUGCUACAAAUUUCAUCAGACAUAAUUUCCAUCAAUGAUUUAAAGAACUCAAUCCCUUGAUCUUCAAUCACAACACUCCAUUGACAAUCUGAUUUCAUAAUCCUUUGUAAUAUCGAAACGGUGCAAAAUCUUGCUUCUUCACUCCCUCUUUGAAGUAUUAUAGCCAUAGACUUCAUGCACCCUGGUUGUAACAAUAUCUUGAUUGUUUCCUCCUCUUCUAACACAAUAGGUAACUUGAUCAAUAGACUAAGAGCCUCUUCACAUGCUCUAAAUGUAACGAAAUCUGAGCUUUCGAUUAAGAUUUGUUGAAUGAUCCUAACAAGAACCUCAACUCCACCACAUUUCUUGAAAUCAUCUUUUACAUCAUGAUCACCUAACUCAACAAUUGACUUGAGUUUCUUUAAGGAACUCACCUUAAAAGGGCUUGAUUCUAUCGUGUUGAUCAACGAUACGAGCUCAUCAUGCUUCAUGGAUAAUUCAUCAUGAGAUUGAGAUUGAGAUUUGCCAUUUUGCCAAGCAAGAAUGAGUCUUUUGAGGGUAUGAUUUGGUGUCAUGUCAAAACUAUGUAAAACUUGCAUUGUGGUAGGACAAGUUUUUUUCUUACAAGUGUAGAACCAUUUUUCUAUAUUUUUUCUCUCAUAUGUAACACCAGUAGAGAUUGUAACAGGAUCUUUCAUGAGCUCCAUGGAGAUUGGACAUCUAAAAUGUAGAGGAAAAUCCAUGAAUAAUUGAUACAAUUUUUGGUAUAUUUUCUUUGUGAAUUGUUAUAUCAACAUUGAAAGAUGAAAAGGUGAAGUGGGGUAGACAAAAUCCUAAGCUUUUUAUAUAUGUAAUUUAUGAUAUGUGUGGAAGUCUAAAGAAAGAACAAAUCAAAGUCAAACAACUCUAUUUUAAUUAAUUGGGAUUACAAGUAUCCAAGUUGUGUAACUGUUGACAUCAAAGCAAAAUAGAUUGGUUUGAAUAGUCUAUGUAUAGUUGAAUAAUGAAUGCUCUUUUGCAAACCCACCCCUUAUAUUUUUGGAUAAAUAUGAAUUUGGCCCCCUAAAAUUUGUAAUGUGCAAGUUUAUUUAUGACAAAAUUUCAUAGUAUUUAGCUUAUAUAGAAUGAGAAUUUAGUUUUAUUUAUUUUAUGUUAUAAGUUGCAACAUGUUACCCACCUUAGUUUUCAAACUAUUAAUUAAACUUAUUAUGAGUAUUUACUAGAAUAGUUAUAGAUGAUCUGAUGAUCGCGAUUACUAGCGAUUCCAACUUCAUGUUCCCGAGUUGCAGAGAACAAUCCGAACUGAGGCAAUCUUUCCGGAUUCGCUCCGCCUUACAGCCUUGCUUCCCAUUGUAAUUGCCAUUGUAGCACGUGUGUGGCCCAGCCCAUAAGGGCCAUGCGGACUUGACGUCAUCCCCACCUUCCUCCAGUAUAUCACUGGCAGUCCUUCGUGAGUGCGGCACACACCUUUUUGUUUGUUUCGGAGCCGUUUGUUUGGGUAAAAAUUCUUUUACACUGAAAAUAAAUAGAAAUUAGAUAUAUAUUAUUAUAAUCGUUUUAUAUUAAUUGAAAUGGUAGAUUGGGU
This 3047-nucleotide long non-coding RNA is filed under the name Solanum tuberosum (potato). RNAcentral's name for it is "long non-coding RNA (STUB_LNC002122)". The record is from RNAcentral. Lineage: Eukaryota; Viridiplantae; Streptophyta; Magnoliopsida; Solanales; Solanaceae.